This 250-nucleotide ribosomal RNA is filed under the name uncultured bacterium. Its description in RNAcentral is "partial 16S ribosomal RNA". It matches the Rfam family "Bacterial small subunit ribosomal RNA", at positions 15 to 257 of the family's 1533-position model. The record is from RNAcentral.
GAUCAUGGCUCAGGAUGAACGCUAGCGACAGGCUUAACACAUGCAAGUCGAGGGGCAGCGAGGGAGUGGCAACACUUCUGUCGGCGACCGGCGCACGGGUGAGUAACGCGUAUGCAACCUGCCCUUCACAGGGGGGAUAACCGGGAGGAAAUUCCGACUAUACCGCAUACGUCCUCCGGGGGCAUCCCCGGGGGAUCGAAAGAAUUAUCGGUGAGGGAUGGGCAUGCGUGAUAUUAGGUAGUUGGCGGGG